Non-coding RNA from Paramormyrops kingsleyae, 3593 nucleotides. NCBI's taxonomy places the organism in Eukaryota, Metazoa, Chordata, Actinopteri, Osteoglossiformes, Mormyridae. The record is from RefSeq and is a predicted model, not a curated record.
CUUAGACAUUCUUCAGGGAGAAGGCAACUGUUUCCAUUGCACACUUCUACCCACGCUGGAGACACUAAUGUUCAGGACCAUGGAACAGAACAGUGGCCUCCAAAUCCUAGCUGACCUUCCAGAGGCAGUUGUCACGGCAAUCAAAAUAAGAUUUUCAGAGGUGUUGGAAAGUGAGGAUGCUGUCGGCUGCUGUGACUCUGCCCAAGUUCAAAUUACAUUGGCUGUGGACACUGGACAGGAUGGACAAGGCCAAGGUAAGUCUACUGGCAGACAAUCCAUCCAUCCAUCCACAUUUUUGACAUAUUUGAACAUUUAAAAAAAAUGCAAUGCUUAAGUUACUUUCUCUGGUAACUAGUUACUUUUAUAAUGCUGUAACUCAGUUACUAACUCGGUUACUUUUUGGAAGAAGUAACUAGUAACUCGGGCGCAGGCGAAGCCUCAGGCGGGGCGAGCCUCGGGGGUUGGAGCUGGCGCCCCCUUCUUGGGGAACUUGGGGAUCUGGGGAAUUCCCUCCUCUGUAGCAUGAAGGCGUGGGUUGUGGAGACUGAGGGAAGGGAAAUCGAGCCUACCUGGAACUCCGCCUCUGGAACAGGUUGGAGGAGGAAAGGCGUUUCUGGAGCCGGUGCACCAGGAUCAGGCUCUUCGGGAGUCAGCUGGCUGGGACCGAAGGCUAGUGACCCAGGCACAAUGAACACCGCGGGGUCAAGUACAGUAGGGACGCGUCCACCAGUGAAGAAGAGGGUACUGCGUGGCCGCAGUUCUGCCCUCUUCCCAAGGAAGAACCAUUCUGCCUGCAGAGGUGUCCUGGGGGCUACAGCGACAAUCACUGGCCGCCCUCAUUGAUUCAGGAGCUGAAGCCAGUUUCAUCAACGCCGCUCUGGUCCAGAAGUGGGGGAUUCCCACCACUCCUGUCCAGGCACCUCUGGUGGCUCAAUCCCUCAGAAGACAGAUGGCAACUGUGACUCGCACCACCAUCCCGGCCCGGAGACAAGAACCUCAAGCCGGACGCACACUCUCGUCAGUUUAGGGAGGAUGACCUCAAGGAUGCUGGUGCUGUUUCAUGGGGAAUUGAGGAGGCGGCCCAGGCGGUACAGCGGCUUCUGCGCCCCCCGGCAGGGACUCAGCAAACUGUCUCUACAUCCCAAAGUUUCUGCACUUCUGAACAAUCCUAUGGGAGCACUCCUCUCUCCUAGCCUGUCAUCCAGGGGUGCAUAGGACAAGGGCCCUUCUCGCACAAUGUUUCUGGUGGCCUUCGAUGCUUUGUGACAUCCGUAGAAACAUUGCGGCUUCCCCCAUUUAUGCACAGAGUAAGACCCCCUCUAAGCUCCAUGGUCUUCCCAUCGAUAUGGUCUCUGAUGGGGGCCCUUCGUUUUGUUGGACCUUUCCCAGUGUCCAAGGUCAUUAACCCCUCAGUGGUACGUCUGCCUGCUACCAUGUGCCAAGUCCAUCCCGGCUUUCAUGUGUCAUUACUUAGGCCUCAUGCGACGAGUCCUCUGGCCUCCCCUGUGCUUCCUCCUCCUCCCCCUCGGUUAGUGGAUGGCAGUAAGGUGUUCUUGGUUCACUGGUUGUUAGAUGUUCGCUGCAGAGGUCGAGGUCUUCUGUAUCUGGUGGACUGACAGGGUUAUGGGCCCGAGGAAUGUUCCUGGGUCCCAGGUCAUUUUAUUCUGGACCUGUCUCUGAUUGCCGACUUCCACUGUCCCUGUCCUGGAGUCAGACGUAGAGGGGAGGGUACUGUCACGGAUUGCUCCAGGGAUGCCCCAUCGUCACACCGACCACGCCCCUCCAGGGAAUCCCACUGACGGGAGACACCUCCUUUGGGGAUGCCAUACCUUUCCAUUCUGAUUUUACGGCUAAUUCUUGUUAGGAGCCAUUCCUCUUUCAGCUGUUUCGUUUUUUUUUCUGUCACCAGAUCUAUUUAUAGAAGCCGAUCACCCUGAUAUGGUUGCGAGAUCUUCAUGGUGUGCCCAGAGUUCGAGCAUUUCUCCUGUUACCGAUUUUCCUGUAUACCAACCUCUGCUCCGUAUUCCAGACCCCGAGCCUUGCCUGUCCCCUGUUUCACUGCCGACACCGAUCGCCUGAACCAUGCCCGAUUUCCCGACUCCGAUCUUCGCCUUCUCCCUCUGGACUCUGUAACCAGUCGCCGAGCUUACAGACUCUGAUCUCUGUCUCCGCCCUCUGGACGAUCGCCCAUCUCUCUGUGCCAUGCCAUCAGCCACCUUUCCGCCUCUGAGUCUGCUGAGAUUUAUUGGAAGCCUGAUUCUCUGCUGCUUAUAUUCUAACAGCUCGUCCUGCAAUAAAACCGCUUACCUGAACCUGGUCUGCAUCAGCAUUCAUCCUGUGCAUCCCUCACAACAUGGCAUGUUUUGAAUAAAGAUUCGCCUUUUGUUCUGAUGGCACCCCCGCACAUUCUGUGCUCAAACUUCUCAUAGCUGUGUUGUGCGAUGUUUUUAUAGUGUUGUAAGAUUGCUACUUGUUCUUGCUAGAUGUCGUUUAAGUGAUCGCCGAUCACGAUCAUUCAGGAUUUUUUUCCGGCCACAUUUCUUCCUCAAAGACAAUGGGUCCCCACUAUCCUUCCAGUUUUUAAUAAUGCGUUGGACAGUUCUUAACCCAAUUUUAGUAGUUUCUGCAAUCUCCUUAUAUGUUUUCUCUGCUUGAUGCAUGCCAAUGAUUUGACCCUUCUCAAACAGACCAACAUCUUUUCCACGACCACGAAAUGUGUCUUUCGACAUGGUUGUUUAAGAAAUGAGAAGCAACUCAUUGCACCAGUUGGGGUUAAAUAACUUGUUGCCAGCUGAAAGAUAAUCGCCCAUGCAGUAAUUAUCCAAUAGGAGGCUCGUACCUAUUUGCUUAGUUAAAUCCAGGUGGCGACUUUUUUUUGGCCAGGCAGUAUAUAUGAAUUCUCAAUUAAUUCGAAAAAUAAAAACAAUGUCUAUCUCUUAAAUGCAGAAGUUUAGUACAAUGACGUUUAUUGACAACCUUGGAGACGGUACCGCAGCAGCAUGUGCUGGUGAUGCAUUGGUGUCCUGUCGGCAUUGGUGAGCUUCAUCCGUAAACAUAAGCCUCCUUCUGGUUUGCUUUCAGAGCCCGAAUCCUGUGCUGACCUUUUGUGUGAAGACACACAACCAGCUCUACUACAUGGUGGCUCCAUCCUUAGAGGCCAUGCGCAUCUGGAUGGAUGUCAUAGUAACGGGCGCUGAAGGGUACACACAGUUCAUGUCCUGAGAGCACCUCAGACUUUGAGGCUGCAACAGGUCACAGACUCAGCAUGGACUUUUCUGAGGGUCUAAAACUCCAUUUUAGGAAAAAAAUUAUUUUUACUUUUGCUUGCAACACUUCUGUAAUUUAAUUUAAUUUCAGAAAAUGCAACUUUUUGGACAAUUUUGGACAUUUGCACAAUUUCAGAAAUUUCACAAAUAUGCACAAUUUUACUUCAUGCUAAACUUGCUCAUGCUUAUUUUGUACAUUGACAUUUUGCACGUUUUUGUCUUGUCCUUUUCUGUUUUGUCUUUACAAUAUCCUGGAAACUAUAAUGCGCAGUCACUAUUGAAGCGUCUUGUUAUGUCCUCCUACUGUCCCUGUUUAGAGUACAGAGA